This is an RNA transcript of Rhinopithecus roxellana (golden snub-nosed monkey), 3393 nucleotides long. It is a transcript of the gene named F-box and leucine rich repeat protein 14, with no coding region annotated. The record is from RefSeq and is a predicted model, not a curated record. The transcript is spliced from 4 exons. Lineage: Eukaryota; Metazoa; Chordata; Mammalia; Primates; Cercopithecidae.
GGAGGGGACGCGCUGCAGGGCGGCGGAGCCGGAGCCGGCCCGGGCGCUACCAAACGCGCGGCCUGCCCGCUCGCCCGGGGUCUGCGCCGAGCCGCGCUCCGGCCGGACGGCCGCAGCGUCCUCGGUGCGGGGGCCGGCAGCUCCCAAGUGGCCGCGGACGGCGGGGGAGAAGGAACGCGCGCCGCCAGCCGGGAUUGGCCUCCUGGUCCCCCCGCCUGGGCGGCGGAGUGCGGGCGGCCCGGGGCUGGGAGGUUUGAAAAGCGGGCGAGAGACAAAGGCAGCAGGAAGCCUCCUCCGCGCCCGGAGCCCGUGCGCCGGGUCCCCGGGGCCCCCUCGCCGCCCGCCGGCCCGCGGAGCAGCGGCGGCGGCAGGAGGCGGAGGAUGCGGCAGGGGGCGUGGGCGCGGCGGCGCGGGCGGAGCGGCGCGGCCCGGGCGCGGCGUGGGUAGAGCCGAGGCGGCGGCGGCCGGCCUCCGGGAGCGAGAGCGAGGCGCCUUCCCCGCCCGGGAUGUGAGCGCCGCGCGGAGCCCGGGGCGGGGGAGGGCCGGGCCGGAGGCGCAGCCGGCAGGAAGGAAGGACGGACCAGGAGGAGGAGCGGCGGCGGCGGCCGGAGCCGGAAGGCGGGGAGGGGCCGGCCGUUGGGCCCGAGGCGGCGGCAGCGGCGGCGGCUGGGGAGAAGCGCUCUCGUCGCCUGCCCGAGUCCGGAGCGGCGGGGCCCGCGCCUCCUCCCCCCAGCGCCGCGGAGGGGGGAGGAGGAAGAUGGAGACCCACAUCUCAUGCCUGUUCCCGGAGCUGCUGGCCAUGAUCUUCGGCUACCUGGACGUCCGGGACAAGGGGCGCGCGGCGCAGGUGUGCACGGCCUGGCGAGACGCCGCCUACCACAAGUCGGUGUGGCGGGGGGUGGAGGCCAAGCUGCACCUGCGCCGGGCCAACCCGUCGCUGUUCCCCAGCCUGCAGGCCCGGGGCAUCCGCCGGGUGCAGAUCCUGAGCCUCCGCCGCAGCCUCAGCUACGUGAUCCAGGGCAUGGCCAACAUCGAGAGCCUCAACCUCAGCGGCUGCUACAACCUCACCGACAACGGGCUGGGCCACGCGUUUGUGCAGGAGAUCGGCUCCCUGCGCGCUCUCAACCUGAGCCUCUGCAAGCAGAUCACUGACAGCAGCCUGGGCCGCAUAGCCCAGUAUCUUAAGGGCCUGGAGGUGCUGGAGCUGGGGGGUUGCAGCAACAUCACCAACACUGGCCUUUUGCUCAUCGCCUGGGGUCUGCAGCGCCUCAAGAGCCUUAACCUCCGCAGCUGCCGCCACCUCUCGGAUGUCGGCAUCGGGCACCUGGCCGGCAUGACGCGCAGCGCUGCGGAGGGCUGCCUGGGCCUGGAGCAGCUCACGCUACAGGACUGCCAGAAGCUCACAGAUCUUUCUCUAAAGCACAUCUCCCGAGGGCUGACGGGCCUGAGGCUCCUCAACCUCAGCUUCUGUGGGGGCAUCUCGGACGCUGGCCUCCUGCACCUGUCGCACAUGGGCAGCCUGCGCAGCCUCAACCUGCGCUCCUGUGACAACAUCAGUGACACGGGCAUCAUGCAUCUGGCCAUGGGCAGCCUACGCCUCUCGGGGCUGGAUGUGUCGUUCUGUGACAAGGUGGGAGACCAGAGUCUGGCUUACAUAGCCCAGGGGCUGGAUGGCCUCAAGUCUCUCUCCCUCUGCUCCUGCCACAUCAGUGAUGAUGGCAUCAACCGCAUGGUGCGGCAGAUGCACGGGCUGCGCACGCUCAACAUUGGACAGUGUGUGCGCAUCACGGACAAGGGCCUGGAGCUGAUCGCUGAGCACCUGAGCCAGCUCACCGGCAUAGACCUGUACGGCUGCACCCGAAUCACCAAGCGCGGCCUGGAGCGCAUCACGCAGCUGCCCUGCCUCAAGGUACUCAACCUGGGACUCUGGCAGAUGACGGACAGUGAGAAGGAGGCACGAGGGGAUUUUUCUCCAUUAUUCACUGUGAGAACUCGGGGAAGCUCCAGAAGGGAAUACUUUAUGAAGGAAAAAGGAUUUACAGAGGACUGGGGAUAAGAGAUGGAGGGAAGCUGAACAGAAGGCAAACGAAACUGGCUGAGCCUCUUCAGAACAGAGGACAAUUCCUGAUGUUCCUCUGAAAAUGUCCUUAGAGGAUAUCUGAACACAGAGACAGAUAUGCGCUGUCUUUUUGAAGACAGUGCGAAGACACAGAGAGGCCACAUGAAGGUUGGGGACUGAGUGACGUUCUGCAGUCUAGGAAUGCCAAAGACGGCCAGCAAAUCACCAGAUGUGGGGAGAGAGGCCUGGAGCAGCUUCUCCUCACAGCCUCAGAAGGAACCAAUCCUGCCAACACCUUCAUCUUGGACUUGGGGCCUCCAGAACUGUGAGAAAGUACAUUGCUGUUGUUUGAAGCCCUCCAGCUUGGUGGUACUUUGUUUCCGCAGCUCUAGGAAACCAUACGUACAGCAGACGCAAAAGGAGAGCUGUGGGAGACUGCAUAUUGUAGGCUUGGCAGGUGAUUUUUGAAUUGUUGGGUUAGCCAGCUAAUUAAGCAGCUAGCACACAGCAAGAGCUCAAUAAACACUUGGUGAGUGACGAAUGGGAGCCUGGGGAGAAGGAGUAAAGAUGGGUUCCCAGGGAGAAUGCUGGGAUGUGGAGGAAAUGCAGUCCCAGUCUCAGGCACGUUGAAUCUCUCCAGAGAGAGAGAUCUAGAGGCAGCUGGAGCACAGCCAUGAAGCUUGGGAGCCAGAGAUUAAGUUUUGGGAAUCAUCCAUAUAGAGAUAAUAGAUUAGAUGCAGUUAAACAUUAUAUAGAAAAAAGAAAAGAGCGCUACAGGCAGACACACUGUAAUUUGAGGUCUCAGAAAAGGAUGGAGAAAAAGUAGAGGAAAGAGACAAGUCCAGCAUCACAGAAGACAGGAGAGGAGAUUUCAGGGAGGAGGACCCAGCUACAAGAAAACAGAAAAGGAAGACCUGUCUCAAGUGAUCGGUUUUCCAUGUCACAACUGCUGUGUUGUUUUGUUUAACCUAAAUCCAUGACAAUUCCUGAAUGAUUUCCAACACAGCAGCUUUUGAAUUUCUUAAAUUCAAGAAAGAUUUUGGAGGAAAAGAUGAAGACGUUAGUAUUUUAAUCCUGAGUGUUUCAAUAGUAAUCUCAGCCUAAGGAGCUCAAAGACUGUGGGACAGGCAAACAAUCUAGGAGUGAAUAUUAUGUCCCUAAUAAAAAGGCUUGGCUGGGUGCAGUGGCUCACGCCUGUGAUCCCAGCCUUAGGGAGGCCAAGGCGGGCGGAUCACGAGGUCAGAAGAUCAAGACCAUUCUGGCUAACAUGGUGAAACCUCAUCUCUACUAAAAAUACAAAAAAAUUAGCCGGGCAUGGUGGCGGGCGCCUGCAG